Molecule: ribosomal RNA, 1559 nt
Filed under: uncultured Glomeromycotina
Lineage: Eukaryota; Fungi; Glomeromycota
Description: eukaryotic LSU rRNA
Rfam family: Eukaryotic large subunit ribosomal RNA (bases 712-1559)
Source: RNAcentral
UAUUGCUCUUCAACGAGGAAUCCCUAGUAAGUACAAGUCACUAGCUUGUGCUGAUUACGUCCCUGCCCUUUGUACACACCGCCCGUCGCUACUACCGAUUGAAUGGCUUAGUGAGGCCCUCGGACUGGGGCUCAGAGACUGGAAACAGACUCUUGGUUUUAAAAAGUUGGUCAAACUUGGUCAUUUAGAGGAAGUAAAAGUCGUAACAAGGUUUCCGUAGGUGAACCUGCGGAAGGAUCAUUACCGAUUUUAGCGAACCUGACCUUUGGUUAUGGUCUCGCGAAAACUUUAUAUUUAAAACCCCACUCAUAAAAAAAAAAAAUUUUUUCAUAUAAAUAAAUAAAGAUCACUUUCAACAACGGAUCUCUUGGCUCUCGCAUCGAUGAAGAACGUAGCGAAGUGCGAUAAGUAAUGUGAAUUGCAAAUUCUGUGAAUCAUCGAGUCUUUGAACGCAAAUUGCACUCUCUUCGGAGAGUAUGCCUGUUUGAGGGUCAGUAUUAAUAAAAAUCGGCGUGUUGCUCUUUUGUGGUGCUCCGGAGUUUGGGUCAUCUUAUAACAAUACCUUUCAGGUGUUUUUAAGAGGCUUAAAAUUGACAUCUUUUUUGCGCAUUUUUUGACGUACAUAAAUUUUUUUAUUCGUUUAUUCUAAUGCCAAAAUCUAUUAGAUGCGACCAUAUCGUGUGGUUCCGUGUCUAUAAAUUUUUCAUGAUUUGACCUCAAAUCAGGUAGGAACACCCGCUGAACUUAAGCAUAUCAAUAAGCGGAGGAAAAGAAAAUAACAAUGAUUCCCCUAGUAACUGCGAGUGAAGAGGGACAAGCUCAAAUUUUAAAUCUGCUUGGUUAUACCUGUCAGAGUUGUAUUUUGAAGAAGCGUUUUCCGCGUCUCGGUUGACCCAAUUCCUUUGGGAUAAGGUAUCAUGGAGGGUGAGAAUCCCGUUCGGUUGACCUUAUGACGCUUUACGAUACGUUUUCAAAGAGUCGAGUUGUUUGGGAUUGCAGCUCAAAAUGGGAGGUAAAUUUCUCCUAAGGCUAAAUAUUGGCGAGAGACCGAUAGCGAACAAGUACCGUGAGGGAAAGAUGAAAAGAACUUUGAAAAGAGAGUAAAAUAGUACGUGAAAUUGUUGAAAGGGAAACGAUUGAAGUCAGUCGUACCGACGAGAAAUCAGCUCUUUGAGUUGUGAACAUGUGGGCGUGCGUGAGCUUUACGGUCUCGCUGUUUGCAAUGUUUGUGCUUUUUGGGUGUACCUUUUCGUAUGGUAGGCCGACAUCAGUUUCGAAUACCAUAAAAUGACCGGCGGAAUGUAGCUUCGAUCUCGUAUUGAAGUGUUAUAGCCUCUGGUAUAUGUGGUGUUUGGGACUGAGGAUUGCAACGAAUAUCCUUUGGGCUAUCCGUCUGAUCUCUGAAAGUUGCUUAGGUGCCGAAAGCAUGCUUACGGUUAUUUAAGUUGACGGUCAAAAGGUUAGAACGUGAUUACAUUCGUUAAGGAUGUUGGCGUAAUGGCUUUAAACGACCCGUCUUGAAACACGGACCAAGGAGUCUAACAUAUAUGCGAGUGUUA